UACGUAGGGGGCAAGCGUUGUCCGGAAUCAUUGGGCGUAAAGCGCGUGUAGGCGGUCCGGUAAGUCGGCUGUGAAAGUCCAGGGCUCAACCCUGGGAUGCCGGUCGAUACUGCCGGACUAGAGUUCGGAAGAGGCGAGUGGAAUUCCCGGUGUAGCGGUGAAAUGCGCAGAUAUCGGGAGGAACACCAAUGGCGAAGGCAGCUCGCUGGGACGUUACUGACGCUGAGACGCGAAAGCGUGGGAGCAAACAGG
This 252-nucleotide ribosomal RNA is filed under the name uncultured bacterium. RNAcentral's name for it is "partial 16S ribosomal RNA". It matches the Rfam family "Bacterial small subunit ribosomal RNA", at positions 524 to 776 of the family's 1533-position model. The record is from RNAcentral.